This 253-nucleotide ribosomal RNA is filed under the name uncultured bacterium. RNAcentral's name for it is "partial 16S ribosomal RNA". It matches the Rfam family "Bacterial small subunit ribosomal RNA", at positions 524 to 776 of the family's 1533-position model. The record is from RNAcentral.
UACAGAGGGUGCGAGCGUUAAUCGGAAUUACUGGGCGUAAAGCGCACGUAGGCGGCUUGAUAUGUCGGGUGUGAAAUCCCCGGGCUCAACCUGGGAACUGCAUCCGAAACUGCCUUGCUCGAGUAUGGGAGAGGGAAGUGGAAUUUCAGGUGUAGCGGUGAAAUGCGUAGAUAUCGGAAGGAACAUCAGUGGCGAAGGCGACUUCCUGGACCAAUACUGACGCUCAGGUGAGAAAGCGUGGGGAGCAAACAGG